Molecule: ribosomal RNA, 405 nt
Filed under: Triticum aestivum (bread wheat)
Lineage: Eukaryota; Viridiplantae; Streptophyta; Magnoliopsida; Poales; Poaceae
Description: partial small subunit ribosomal RNA
Source: RNAcentral
AUGGUGGUGGGAGCCACUGAAGGCAUCCCGAGGCAUGCAGAUUCGAUCACGGACGUGGGCACGCGGGAUGCGUCGGGCCCUCCACUCACGCUGCAUGUGGGGCUCGUUGAUGGGACCUGUGAUGGGAAUCAUGGCCAUGCACGUACGGUGGUAGCUCUUCCUGGACAUGCACGUACGGAGACUAUUCUCGACUCUGAUCUUUCCAACUUGGCUGCCCUGGACGACUUGGAGAUGCAGCGGCCUGAUUCUAGUGAUGAGCAAAGGGCUCUUGCAACAAUCACGGAGGGGAUGGCAUCUCAAGAAGCUUUGGCAUUCGCCCGGCUCAAAAGCUUCUGCUCCAACAUCGUGAAGAAGCUCGCUCCUCCUCUGCUGAAAGAAGUACAAGCUGCAACGCUUCGGCCAUAA